Coccinella septempunctata (seven-spotted ladybird) is the source of this 450-nucleotide long non-coding RNA. RefSeq lists it as uncharacterized. The transcript is spliced from 2 exons. Lineage: Eukaryota; Metazoa; Arthropoda; Insecta; Coleoptera; Coccinellidae. The record is from RefSeq and is a predicted model, not a curated record.
AAAAGACAAUUGUCUGUCAUCUUUGUCUAACCAUUUAUGAAGUUUGACAGAAGUUAGGCACAGAUUUUUGAUAUGAUUGUACAAGUUGGAACAAAUAUGGGGAUUUAAUUUUAAAUUUUGUACAGCUGACAGCUGACCAUAGAUAACCUAACCUGUUUGUUUAUAUUUACAUAACCGUUACAGUCGGAGCCGGAAACUUUCUGAUUUUUAUUCGACUUAUUACACUAAUUAAAUGAGACCAUUGAUAUUGAUACUUUGAAAGCAAUCUGAUGAUUACAUGCAUUAAGAGUUCUUCUUUUGGGUACAUUAAACUUUCCAUUUUCCAAAAAUAAAAGUAAUAUUAGAUGAUCGAAAUACUCAAAAAUCUGGAGCAUUCUCAAAUAACAAAACUAAAAUUUUAAAUGAUAAUCAAAUGUGAUUUAAACCAAUACAUUUUAUUGAGGAGUAGAA